Esox lucius (northern pike) is the source of this 2933-nucleotide long non-coding RNA. NCBI's taxonomy places the organism in Eukaryota, Metazoa, Chordata, Actinopteri, Esociformes, Esocidae. The record is from Ensembl.
AUAGGAAGUAUGGGGUGAUGUGAUGAGGAACAGGUGUGUGUAAUGAUAGGAAGUAUGGGGUGAUGUGAUGAGGAACAGGUGUGUGUAAUGAUAUGAAGUAUGGGGUGAUGUGAUGAGGAACAGGUGUGUUUAAUGAUGGGAAGUAUGGGGUGAUGUGAUGAGGAACAGGUGUGUGUAAUGAUAGGAAGUAUGGGGUGAUGUGAUGAGGAACAGGUGUGUGUAAUGAUAGGAAGUAUGGGGUGAUGUGAUGAGGAACAGGUGUGUGUAAUGAUAGGAAGUAUGGGGUGAUGUGAUGAGGAACAGGUGUGUGUAAUGAUAGGAAGUAUGGGGUGAUGUGAUGAGGAACAGGUGUGUGUAAUGAUAGGAAGUAUGGGGUGAUGUGAUGAGGAACAGGUGUGUGUAAUGAUGGGAAGUAUGGGGUGAUGAACAGGUGUGUGUAAUAGUGGAAAGCUCCUUGAAAGUGUAUAUCCUUUGAUCGUUGCAAACUGGUCGAUAAUGUCUCUUAUUUUACCUUGUACAUCAUCAAAAUGAAAGCAAAGUUCUAAUGGAUUUAUUUUUGAAUAAUUUAAGUUUUGUGUAAUUUUCAUUUUGUACAUUUGUAGGGCCUAAUAAAUGAAUGAAAAUACUAUAGCCUGUGUUCUUAGAAAUAAUCGUUCUAUUUAUUAUAAUUUUUUGAACUAUUCUAUGUAGUUUGAGGACGAUCCGGUAGAUGAACUGAUGCCCUGGCUGGAUGGGGAUGCUGUGGAGAAUGUCCAUGUUAAUAGGGACGAUUCAUAUGCUAUUGACGGCAAACGGUGUUCAGCUGUGGCUGAUACUGUUGGUCUCAAAGGCCGGGCGGUUCUAGUGUUAAACGAGCUAAUGUUGUAGUUUUUGACAGGAAAUGUCUCCCAUUGACCGUUUGAUUAGAUUUAUUUUAGUGUUAAUACUUUAUUAAUAUAACUCCUUCUGAAUUCUUUCCAUCUUUAGGCCUGGUAGGAGACCCAGAGGAUUCCUGUCGUUCAUGUCCAAUAAGCCCCUCACACCUGCCUCCUCUGCCCCUGCUCGAGGUCCCAGAGCAGCCGCUCAGAGGCCCCAGGUCAACACCAACCGCACUGGGGGGAAACGGGCUGACUCCGCUCCCUCCUCCGUCAGAGCCAUGCCUGCACGUUUCACCAGCCCCACUAGAACCACCAUUAAGCCUGACGGUUCCCCGACGGUGACCUGGGGAAAACCCUCUGAUGUUCAAACCACCAAAUCAGACCCAGAGCCCAGUACCUCCCAGGGUACAGCUUCCCAGGUAAAGAGGUGGACACCUCCUACUGGGAUUGGUCUGCCAACCUUUCUAGUACAGUACAAUCGACAGAACAUAACCCUCCCCCUUCCCAUCUGUCUCCUCCCCCUUCCCAUCUGUCUCUGCUCUCUCCAAUCCCUCAUUCUGUCUCCUUCAUCUCCCUCUCUUCCUUCAUUUCUCCCUCUCUCUCUCUGCAUCUCUUCCUUUUUCUUGACCAGCCUUCUCAGGGGCCAGAUGGCCAGCCCAGUGCCUCUCCCUGUGUGGACAGCUACUCAACAGACGAGGAACCCAUCAACGUGUCCCAGUACUUUUUCAGUGACAUCUUCACUGAGGUUGAGGAGAAUGAGGGGUGACCGGAAAGAUAACAAGGCAUCUUUUAAUUCAUUGAACCGAGCUGAAGAACAAACUGCUAAAAAGUACUUGAAGAUUUUUGGAUGUAGCACUAAAAUCACAUCGCUUUGUGGUUAUGCUAACAAGGUUUCUGGUUUGCGGUGAAUAUAUUUGGCCACUAGAUGGCCACAAAACAGAACUUAAGACGAUUAUUUCAGAAGAAAACACUUUUUUUGUCCUGCUUAGGAACUUUGCUCUAAUUUGUGCACCUUUGCUAUAAUAAUAUCUUGAAUCAUAUUCAGACAACUUUGUAUCCUAAUAACAUAUUUAUAUUUAUUUGGUUUUAUUUCUUUUAAACCACUUAGGUAGACAUUAACAAUUCAAACUCACUUCUAUAGCACUCGCCAGUUUUGCAGUUUGCUCAGGGACUUUCAAAUUCAUAUUUGAGUUCUUUUUUUAUAGGUUUGCUGUUAGUCACAUGAUCACGCCAUUGAAUUUGCCAAGUUUCUCCAAAAACAAACAGGCUUUAAGUUAUCUCACUGGUUCUAAAAUUGAUCUCAACCUUUCUCAGACAAACUGCAUCACCGCCAAUCACAAUCCAAAUCAAAAUAAUUCAUCACUGAUCGCAAUCUCAGUUUUAAUAGGCUAGAAUAGGUUGUCACUCUUAGUGUCUGCUAAACCAAUAAUUUGUAAGGAGGGACUUUCCAGGUGGAAAGAGAUUACAGAUGAUCAUGUGACUGGAGUGCUCUGUUAAAGCAUGUUUACAUUUACAUACGAAGCCCUUGUCUUACAGUGAACAUUGUGUAAAUAUGUUAAUUAUAAUUUAGAUCAGAUAUAUUGCAGGGGGGAUUUUGGUGCAUGAAAAAGACUUGUUGUGCAGCUUCACAAUGUUUAUUAAAUGCUGCCUGAUGACACUGUUUACAGAGUCCUCAUUUAAUCAAUGUACCGCUACAACAAAUGCACUAGUCCAUUUUCAGUUCUCAAAUUUUUUGUUUUCAAAUUAGCAUAGCUGUUAUGUUGCUAAUGUAAAAUAUGUGAAUAAAGUUGUGUAUGUGAAUGUCUGCUUUAUGUUGAAUGCCUUCCUUAAACAGUUGUUAAAGAAACAAGAAUGCCUUAUUGGUAAGUACAAAUGAAAGCACAAUUAAAGCCAUUUUAAACAUUGGUCUUUGGUCUGUUGGCCACUAGGAGGCUGUCAAGUGCUUUUUGCACGCCACCUAUGCCGCAGAACCAGAACCAGCAGAAUAAACUAAGUUAUCAUUUUUAAAUAGAGCAUGAGAGAACGUCACCUUCAUUGGUCUGAGCAGUAAAUAAAGAGCCCAUCUCUAAAGCUUUG